Molecule: ribosomal RNA, 203 nt
Filed under: uncultured bacterium
Lineage: Bacteria
Description: partial 16S ribosomal RNA
Rfam family: Bacterial small subunit ribosomal RNA
Source: RNAcentral
UACGUAGGUCCGAGCGUUGUCCGGAAUUACUGGGCGUAAAGAGCUCGUAGGUGGUUUGUCGCGUUGUUCGUGAAAACUCACAGCUCAACUGUGGCGUGCGGCGAUACGGGCAGACUGAGUACUGCAGGGAGACUGGAAUUCCUGGUGUAGCGGUGGAAUGCGCAGAUAUCAGGAGGAACACCGGUGGCGAAGGCGGUCUCUGG